Molecule: small RNA, 127 nt
Filed under: Marmota monax (woodchuck)
Lineage: Eukaryota; Metazoa; Chordata; Mammalia; Rodentia; Sciuridae
Source: RNAcentral
GCUAGGUGUGGUGGUGCAUGUCUGUAAUUCCAGAUGCUCAGGAGGCUGAGGCAGGAGGAUCACAAGUUCAAGGGAAGCCUCAGCAACUUAGUGAGUUCGUCAACAAUUUAGUGAGACCCUGUCUCUA